UGCUAGCUUUUUCACUCACGUUUUCUACCGUACUCGGAUCCACUGUGCGCACGAAUCCUCCACCGUUGUCCGUGAAUUCUUCAUAGCUGCUCGUGAAUCCUCUAUGCAAGCGCGCGAAAAUCUUUCUCAAUAUUGCUACUCCUGCUUCCUCCUCUGAUUUAUUCCCCACUCUAAACCCUAGAUGGAGUCGUAUCCAACAUAAGGAGUGGAGAGGGCACGACACAGAGGCAUGGAGAGGGCUCGGCGAGCAGAGAGCGUGCGGCACGAAAGCUGAUGCAGGCGCAAGCUGACGACGCCGGCGAGGGCGUGAGAAGUCGUGGCUGCCGAUGAUAAACCAAUGAACCAAGCAACAAAUGGCUCCGCCACCAUAUUAGGACGGACCUGCUCCUGCAUAUCAGACCGGCUCUGCUCCUACUAUUGUUCCUACUUCAGGAGGUGAAUCAGCAUGGUGGACUAGCCCUCUGCCACAAGCCACACCUUCAGCAACCAUAUCCACAAAUUGAAUCGUUGAUAUGAGGUUGAUUGGCAUUUCCAGCAGGAUAUGACGGAGGUUGUUGGAUUAUAGAUGGCUUUUGGUGCUUCUUCCUCAACGGUUCAGCUAGUUGUCCAGUUUGCUUUUGUGGCCUGGAUAAACAUGUAUUGCUUGGGCCAUGGCUAUUAACUAGUUCAUCAUGUAGUAACGAAUGGACAUUUUAAUUUCCAGUUAUGUUUAAAACCUUUAGUUGGCUAUGCUACCGGUUGGUUAUUAUUUUUAGUUGGUUAUGUAACGUAUGGCCUGAGGUGUAGGCUACCUGUUGGUUAUCUUUGGUUGGUUAUGAAUCCUCCACACAAAGAGGCACAAAGAUGA
Molecule: long non-coding RNA, 847 nt
Organism: Sorghum bicolor (sorghum)
Lineage: Eukaryota; Viridiplantae; Streptophyta; Magnoliopsida; Poales; Poaceae
Exons: 3
Source: RefSeq, a predicted model, not a curated record